This 371-nucleotide ribosomal RNA is filed under the name uncultured organism. RNAcentral describes it as "bacterial SSU rRNA". It matches the Rfam family "Bacterial small subunit ribosomal RNA", at positions 526 to 896 of the family's 1533-position model. The record is from RNAcentral.
CGUAGGGGCGAGCGUUGUCCGGAUUCAUUGGGCGUAAAGCGCUCGCAGGCGGUCCGUCGCGUCCGGCGUGAAGGCCCCCGGCUCAACCGGGGGUGGUCGUCGGAUACGGGCGGACUGGAGGUAGGUAGGGGGACGCGGAAUUCCCGGUGUAGUGGUGGAAUGCGUAGAGAUCGGGAGGAACACCGGCGGCGAAGGCGGCGUCCUGGACCUGGCCUGACGCUCAGGAGCGAAAGCGUGGGGAGCGAUCCGGAUUAGAUACCCGGGUAGUCCACGCCGUAAACGAUGCGGACUAGGUGUCGGGGGUAUCGACCCCCCCGGUGCCGCAGCCAACGCGAUAAGUCCGCCGCCUGGGGAGUACGGCCGCAAGGCUA